This is a small nucleolar RNA of Phyllostomus hastatus (greater spear-nosed bat), 102 nucleotides long. RefSeq annotates it as small nucleolar RNA U13. The record is from RefSeq and is a predicted model, not a curated record. Lineage: Eukaryota; Metazoa; Chordata; Mammalia; Chiroptera; Phyllostomidae. The transcript has a single exon.
AUUCUUUUGUACUUCAUCUACAUGAUGAUGGGGUCUUCACGCUCUUGUGUGAGAUGUGGCUCCCUCAAACCGUGUGAGGACCAGCACACCACCUUCUUGACA